Molecule: ribosomal RNA, 478 nt
Filed under: uncultured bacterium
Lineage: Bacteria
Description: partial 16S ribosomal RNA
Rfam family: Bacterial small subunit ribosomal RNA
Source: RNAcentral
GAUGAACGCUGGCGGCGUGCUUAACACAUGCAAGUCGAACGGGAAACCUUUUAUUGAAGCUUCGGCAGAUUUAGCUGGUUUCUAGUGGCGGACGGGUGAGUAACGCGUGGGUAACCUGCCUUAUACAGGGGGAUAACAGUCAGAAAUGGCUGCUAAUACCGCAUAAGCGCACAGAGCUGCAUGGCUCAGCGUGAAAAACUCCGGUGGUAUAAGAUGGACCCGCGUUGGAUUAGCUGGUUGGUGGGGUAACGGCCCACCAAGGCGACGAUCCAUAGCCGGCCUGAGAGGGUGAACGGCCACAUUGGGACUGAGACACGGCCCAGACUCCUACGGGAGGCAGCAGUGGGGAAUAUUGCACAAUGGGGGAAACCCUGAUGCAGCGACGCCGCGUGAAGGAAGAAGUAUCUCGGUAUGUAAACUUCUAUCAGCAGGGAAGAUAAUGACGGUACCUGACUAAGAAGCCCCGGCUAACUACGUG